Molecule: ribosomal RNA, 667 nt
Filed under: bacterium
Lineage: Bacteria
Description: bacterial SSU rRNA
Rfam family: Bacterial small subunit ribosomal RNA
Source: RNAcentral
UGCAAGUCGAACGGUAGCACAAGAGAGCUUGCUCUCGGGUGACGAGUGGCGGACGGGUGAGUAAUGUCUGGGAAACUGCCUGAUGGAGGGGGAUAACUACUGGAAACGGUAGCUAAUACCGCAUAACGUCGCAAGACCAAAGAGGGGGACCUUCGGGCCUCUUGCCAUCAGAUGUGCCCAGAUGGGAUUAGCUAGUAGGUGGGGUAACGGCUCACCUAGGCGACGAUCCCUAGCUGGUCUGAGAGGAUGACCAGCCACACUGGAACUGAGACACGGUCCAGACUCCUACGGGAGGCAGCAGUGGGGAAUAUUGCACAAUGGGCGCAAGCCUGAUGCAGCCAUGCCGCGUGUAUGAAGAAGGCCUUCGGGUUGUAAAGUACUUUCAGCGGGGAGGAAGGUGUUGUGGUUAAUAACCGCAGCAAUUGACGUUACCCGCAGAAGAAGCACCGGCUAACUCCGUGCCAGCAGCCGCGGUAAUACGGAGGGUGCAAGCGUUAAUCGGAAUUACUGGGCGUAAAGCGCACGCAGGCGGUCUGUCAAGUCGGAUGUGAAAUCCCCGGGCUCAACCUGGGAACUGCAUUCGAAACUGGCAGGCUAGAGUCUUGUAGAGGGGGGUAGAAUUCCAGGUGUAGCGGUGAAAUGCGUAGAGAUCUGGAGGAAUACCCGG